Molecule: non-coding RNA, 48 nt
Organism: Schistosoma curassoni
Lineage: Eukaryota; Metazoa; Platyhelminthes; Trematoda; Strigeidida; Schistosomatidae
Source: Rfam
AUUCAGCUGACAAGUCCCAAAUUGGACGAAAUGUGUGUCAAACUGGAU